RNAcentral lists this non-coding RNA (21 nucleotides) under Caenorhabditis elegans. The record is from RNAcentral. Lineage: Eukaryota; Metazoa; Nematoda; Chromadorea; Rhabditida; Rhabditidae.
UGCCCUUCUUGAAAGCAUGAA